Molecule: transfer RNA, 65 nt
Filed under: Heterocephalus glaber (naked mole-rat)
Lineage: Eukaryota; Metazoa; Chordata; Mammalia; Rodentia; Bathyergidae
Rfam family: tRNA
About the family: Transfer RNA (tRNA) molecules are approximately 80 nucleotides in length.
Source: Rfam by way of RNAcentral
GGGGAUGUAGCUCAGUGGUAGAGUGUAUGCUUAUCAUGCAUGAGGCUAUGGGUAUUUCAGCCCCA